Long non-coding RNA from Aricia agestis (brown argus), 1489 nucleotides. RefSeq lists it as uncharacterized. The record is from RefSeq and is a predicted model, not a curated record. The transcript is spliced from 5 exons. Lineage: Eukaryota; Metazoa; Arthropoda; Insecta; Lepidoptera; Lycaenidae.
UUUACAACACAUAACCGUUACAGAGAACUAUCUCUGUGUUACUAUAUACAAUCUCAAGGUAUAUAGGUAAUGACUGAAGCUGCUGAAGGGAGUGCGGGAUGGCUUCAGCAGUUUUAAAGAUAUCCAUCAAGUGAUUAAUAAAAAUAAAUCUUUGAAGAGUAAAACUGUUACAAGUAAAGAAAAUGUGAUCCAAGGUAGGUAAUGUAAUAAAAUAGAGGAAGAAUAACCACUCUGCAAUUUUACAAGAAGAGGAUGAUUUUUAAUGGAUGAAAUUCUCAACAAAAACCUGUAUAUUAAAUAUUUAAAGCGAAUUUUCAAAGGAGGGAUGUUACAUUCAACCUGCAUUGAUAUUAUGGGUGUGGAACACAUCGCACCAAGCACAAUCCAGCUGAUGUCCAAGCCCAGAUCAUCAUAAUAGGCCUUAAGGCCGAGGAGAGCAACUCUGAGAUUUUCAAUAGCUGCAGACAACUUGUCUGCAGUACAAUAUAUAGUUAAGUCAUCUACAAACUGUAGAUUCGUGUGAAGAGGAAAACUUUCAAAUGUCUGUGACAAGUUACUAUGGGGAGAGAAUGAUGGAGAAAGAUUCAAUGUUGUCAGAGUUGGUAAAUGAUAACUACCUAACGAGUCUGAAGAAACUUGCCAUUCCCAAAAUAAUGCUAACGACGCCGAAACAAAAGUCAAAUCUAGUGCAUUUGGCUUCCAUCUAUGCGACCCUACAGUGGUUGGACGUCCAUCAUUCAAGAGAACCAAAUCAUUCUCAUCAGCGACAUCAACAAUAUCUCUCCCUCGCGCGUCAACUUUGCCGCAACCCCAUAAAGUAUGAUGCGCGUUAAAGUCUCCAGCCAAAAUUAUCGGUUUCGGAAUAGUCUGUAUUAAAUCAUUAAAUUUUUUCUUAUUAAAUUCAGGAGUACAGCUUCCUGGGCUGUAAAAACUUACAAUCGAAAUUUGUUUCUGAAAAAUUUGAAUCUGAACAACAAUAUUUUGUAAAGAAUCAUCAUAAAAUGUAUUAAUUCUGUUAUAGACUAUAGUGUUAUGAAUUAAUAUGGCUACUCCAUUGUGAUUAUUACCACAGUCAUUUCUCACAAUAGAAUAUCCUUUCAUGUUAAAUGUGAUAUGUGGUUUGAGCCACGUUUCACUAAUUAUACAAAUGUGGAUGGAAUUAUCUAAUAGAAAUUUUUGUAGUUCAUAUUUAUUACUUGGCAAGCUUUGACUGUUCCAUUGCAUAAUAUUUACUUGGGCAGAGAAUGUGAAAGAUUGUUAUUUUUUUCUUUUAUAGUUUCUUUUAUUGUUUCUGAAAGAAGCUGUGAGUUUAUGCUUGCAUUUUGAGUCUUGUUCAGAGUAAUAGCUUUAAUUAAACAUUCUGUGAGUAACGUAAGUGCGUUUUUAUUUGAGAGAAGUACAUUUAAUAAGUCUUUACUAUUUGUGUUUUCAUUCAAUGAAGGGAAAUUUUGUAAUUUAUUAUUAAAAAGGUCUGCAUAUGAUGUAGUUG